AGAGUUUGAUCCUGGCUCAGAGUGAUAGCCGGCGGCAUGUCUAACACAUGCAAGUCGAACGAAGCCUUCGGGUUUAGUGGCGCACGGGUGCGUAACGCGUGGGAAUCUGCCCCUUGGUUCGGAAUAACAGUUGGAAACGACUGCUAAUACCGGAUGAUGACGUAAGUCCAAAGAUUUAUCGCCGAGGGAUGAGCCCGCGUAGGAUUAGGUAGUUGGUGUGGUAAAGGCGCACCAAGCCGACGAUCCUUAGCUGGUCUGAGAGGAUGAUCAGCCACACUGGGACUGAGACACGAUCCAGAUUUAUACGGGAGGCAGCAGUGGGGAAUAUUGGACAAUGGGCGAAAGCCUGAUCCAGCAAUGCCGCGUGAGUGAUGAAGGCCUUAGGGUUGUAAAGCUCUUUUACCCGGGAUGAUAAUGACAGUACCGGGAGAAUAAGCUCCGGCUAACUCCGUGCCAGCAGCCGCGGUAAU
RNAcentral lists this ribosomal RNA (470 nucleotides) under Sphingomonas sp. IIIL_I. RNAcentral's name for it is "bacterial SSU rRNA". It matches the Rfam family "Bacterial small subunit ribosomal RNA", at positions 8 to 524 of the family's 1533-position model. The record is from RNAcentral. Lineage: Bacteria; Pseudomonadati; Pseudomonadota; Alphaproteobacteria; Sphingomonadales; Sphingomonadaceae.